GGAGUUCAGGCAAAAGUUUUGCACACAGGAAUCCACUGUGACAAUGACAUGGAUUUUUAAGUAAAUNAAUUUUGUUUAAGACUUAUUGGACAUACAAGUGAUGUUCACGCAUUAAUUAUCACAUUUAUAUUGAACUGCAUCCCCAAGGAACCAUUCUUUGUAAAACUCAUUAUGCAGAAACAACACUGGGAGCAAAGGCCAAAUAAGUGGNGAGUUCANGCAAAGAUUCUGCACACAGG
This 239-nucleotide long non-coding RNA is filed under the name Vigna radiata. RNAcentral describes it as "long non-coding RNA (VRAD_LNC005356)". The record is from RNAcentral. Lineage: Eukaryota; Viridiplantae; Streptophyta; Magnoliopsida; Fabales; Fabaceae.